This 253-nucleotide ribosomal RNA is filed under the name uncultured bacterium. Its description in RNAcentral is "partial 16S ribosomal RNA". It matches the Rfam family "Bacterial small subunit ribosomal RNA", at positions 524 to 776 of the family's 1533-position model. The record is from RNAcentral.
UACGUAGGGGGCAAGCGUUGUCCGGAAUCAUUGGGCGUAAAGAGCGUGUAGGCGGCCCGGUAAGUCCGCUGUGAAAGUCGGGGGCUCAACCCUCGAAUGCCGGUGGAUACUGUCGGGCUAGAGUGCGGAAGAGGCGAGUGGAAUUCCUGGUGUAGCGGUGAAAUGCGCAGAUAUCAGGAGGAACACCAAUUGCGGAGGCAGCUCGCUGGGACGUAACUGACGCUGAGACGCGAAAGCGUGGGGAGCAAACAGG